CCUACGGGAGGCAGCAGUGGGGAAUAUUGCACAAUGGGGGAAACCCUGAUGCAGCGACGCCGCGUGAGUGAGGAAGUAUUUCGGUAUGUAAAGCUCUAUCAGCAGGGAAGAAAAUGACGGUACCUGACUAAGAAGCCCCGGCUAACUACGUGCCAGCAGCAGCGGUAAUACGUAGGGGGCGAGCGUUAUCCGGAUUCACUGGGGGUAAAGGGAGCGUAGACGGCCGUGCAAGCCAGGAGUGAAAGCCGGGGGCCCAACCCCGGGACGGCUCUUGGAACUGUGCGGCUAGAGUGGGGGAGGGGCAGGCGGAAUGCCUGGUGUAGCGGUGAAAUGCGUAGAUAUCAGGAGGAACACCGGCGGCGAAGGCGGCCUGCUGGACCGCGACUGACGUUGAGGCUCGAAAGCGUGGGGAGCGAACAGGAUUAGAUACCCCUGUAGUC
Molecule: ribosomal RNA, 440 nt
Filed under: uncultured bacterium
Lineage: Bacteria
Description: partial 16S ribosomal RNA
Rfam family: Bacterial small subunit ribosomal RNA
Source: RNAcentral